AAGCUCGUAGUUGAAUUUCGGACCUGGCUGGGCGGUCGGCUUAUCGGCUUGUACUGUCUGGCUGGGCCUUACUUCUUGGUGAGCCGGUGUGCCCUUUAUUGGGUGCGCUGGUGAACCAGGACCUUUACCUUGAGAAAAUUAGAGUGCUCAAAGCAGGCCUAUGCCCGAAUACAUUAGCAUGGAAUAAUAAAAUAGGACGUGCGGUUCUAUUUUGUUGGUUUCUAGAGUCGCCGUAAUGAUUAAUAGGGAUAGUUGGG
RNAcentral lists this ribosomal RNA (257 nucleotides) under uncultured Basidiomycota. Its description in RNAcentral is "partial 18S ribosomal RNA". It matches the Rfam family "Eukaryotic small subunit ribosomal RNA", at positions 624 to 886 of the family's 1831-position model. Lineage: Eukaryota; Fungi; Basidiomycota. The record is from RNAcentral.